Molecule: ribosomal RNA, 1174 nt
Filed under: uncultured soil eukaryote
Lineage: Eukaryota
Description: SSU rRNA
Rfam family: Eukaryotic small subunit ribosomal RNA
Source: RNAcentral
CCUGCCAGUAGCAUAUGCUUGUCUCAAAGAUUAAGCCAUGCAUGUGUAAGUAUGAGCACUCGUACUGUGAAACUGCGGAUGGCUCAUUAAAUCAGUCAUAAUCUACAUGGUGACCCUUUCUAAUUGGAUAACUGUAGAAAUCCUAGAGCUAAUACAUGCGAACAGCCUCUCCGCAAGGGGAGGUGUACUUACUAGACUUUUAACCAGCCCCAGGCAACUGGAGCUUUGGUGAUUCAUGGUAAUUGAUCGAAUCGCACAGCCUUGAGCUUGGCGAUACACCAUUCGAAUCUCUGCCCUAUCAGCUAAAUCGCAGUGUAGUGGUCUGCGGUGGCAAUAACGGGUAACGGGGAAUUGGGGUUUGAUUCCGGAGAGGGAGCCUGAGAAACAGCUCCUACUUCCAAGGAAGGCAGCAGGCGCGUAAAUUACCCAAUUCUAACUCAGAGAGGUAGUGACAAGAAAUAACAAUACGGCUCCUAUCUAGGUGUCGUAAUUGGAAUGAGUACAAUCUAAACCCCUUAACGAGGAUCUAUUGGAGGGAAAGCCUGGUGCCAGCAGCCGCGGUAAUUCCAGCUCCAAUAGCGUAUACUAAAAUUGCUGCAGUUAAAAAGCUCGUAGUUGGAAUCCUGGGUGCGGUGUGGCCCGGUCUGCCGUGAAGGUGUGCACUGGCUACGCCCCCCGCAAUCGCUCAGUAGCGCCCAUCUGAUCUUAACUGGUUGGGUGGGACCGCUCUGGGCCGUUUACUGUGAGUAAAUAAGGGUGUUUAAAGCAAGCAAUCGCUCUGAAUUCAAUAGCAUGGGAUAAUAGAACACGAGGCGCUGUGGUUUCGGUUGGUUGCCACAGCGCCUAAUGAUCAAUAGGAACGGUCGGGGGUAUUCGUAUUGAAUUGUCAGAGGUGAAAUUCUUAGAUUUAUGCAAGACGAACUACUGCGAAAGCAUCUGCCAAGGACGCUUUCAUUGAUCAAGAACGAAAGUUAGGGGAUCGAAGAUGAUCAGAUACCGUCGUAGUCCUAACCGUAAACGAUACCGGCUAGGGCUCGGGGGAAGUUACUUUAUUCGACUCUCCCAGGACCUUGUGAGAAAUCAUAAGCCUAUGGGUUCUGGGGGGAGUAUGGUCGCAAGGCUGAAACUUAAAGGAAUUGACGGAAGGACACCACCAGGAGUGGAACCUGCGGCU